This 769-nucleotide ribosomal RNA is filed under the name Alcaligenaceae bacterium KAs3-R3. RNAcentral describes it as "bacterial SSU rRNA". It matches the Rfam family "Bacterial small subunit ribosomal RNA", at positions 9 to 773 of the family's 1533-position model. Lineage: Bacteria; Pseudomonadati; Pseudomonadota; Betaproteobacteria; Burkholderiales; Alcaligenaceae. The record is from RNAcentral.
GAGUUUGAUCCUGGCUCAGAUUGAACGCUAGCGGGAUGCCUUACACAUGCAAGUCGAACGGCAGCACGGACUUCGGUCUGGUGGCGAGUGGCGAACGGGUGAGUAAUGUAUCGGAACGUGCCUAGUAGCGGGGGAUAACUACGCGAAAGCGUAGCUAAUACCGCAUACGCCCUACGGGGGAAAGCAGGGGAUCGUAAGACCUUGCACUAUUAGAGCGGCCGAUAUCGGAUUAGCUAGUUGGUGGGGUAACGGCUCACCAAGGCGACGAUCCGUAGCUGGUUUGAGAGGACGACCAGCCACACUGGGACUGAGACACGGCCCAGACUCCUACGGGAGGCAGCAGUGGGGAAUUUUGGACAAUGGGGGAAACCCUGAUCCAGCCAUCCCGCGUGUGCGAUGAAGGCCUUCGGGUUGUAAAGCACUUUUGGCAGGAAAGAAACGUCCCGGGAUAAUACCCCGGGAAACUGACGGUACCUGCAGAAUAAGCACCGGCUAACUACGUGCCAGCAGCCGCGGUAAUACGUAGGGUGCAAGCGUUAAUCGGAAUUACUGGGCGUAAAGCGUGCGCAGGCGGUUCGGAAAGAAAGAUGUGAAAUCCCAGAGCUUAACUUUGGAACUGCAUUUUUAACUACCGAGCUAGAGUGUGUCAGAGGGAGGUGGAAUUCCGCGUGUAGCAGUGAAAUGCGUAGAUAUGCGGAGGAACACCGAUGGCGAAGGCAGCCUCCUGGGAUAACACUGACGCUCAUGCACGAAAGCGUGGGGAGCAAAC